Molecule: ribosomal RNA, 492 nt
Filed under: uncultured bacterium
Lineage: Bacteria
Description: partial 16S ribosomal RNA
Rfam family: Bacterial small subunit ribosomal RNA
Source: RNAcentral
AGUGAACGCUGGCGGUAGGCCUAACACAUGCAAGUCGAACGGCAGCACAGUAAGAGCUUGCUCUUACGGGUGGCGAGUGGCGGACGGGUGAGGAAUACAUCGGAAUCUACUUUUUCGUGGGGGAUAACGUAGGGAAACUUACGCUAAUACCGCAUACGACCUACGGGGGAAAGCAGGGGAUCUUCGGACCUUGCGCGAUUGAAUGAGCCGCUGUCGGAUUAGAUAGUUGGCGGGGUAAAGGCCCACCAAGGGGCCGAUCCGUAGCUGGUCUGAGAGGAUGAUCAGCCACCUUGGAACUGAGACACGGUCCAGACUCCUACGGGAGGCAGCAGUGGGGAAUAUUGGACAAUGGGCGCAAGCCUGAUCCAGCCAUACCGCGUGGGUGAAGAAGGCCUUCGGGUUGUAAAGCCCUUUUGUUGGGAAAGAAAAGCAGCAGGUUAAUACCCCGCUGUUCUGACGGUACCCAAAGAAUAAGCACCGGCUAACUUCGUG